Molecule: long non-coding RNA, 730 nt
Filed under: Nicotiana benthamiana
Lineage: Eukaryota; Viridiplantae; Streptophyta; Magnoliopsida; Solanales; Solanaceae
Description: long non-coding RNA (NBEN_LNC036745)
Source: RNAcentral
UCGGAAUGAAAGUCAUUAAAUUCUUAAGUAGCACAGACAGCUACAGGUGAUUUAAGAAUUGACCUUUAAAUGAUUAAGGAAAUGGUAUUACUAUUCUAGUUAUUUGACGGGGGUAUAUGUUCAGUAAAAGGGGAAGGUGAUGUAAACUGAUAUUACUUCUGUGGGAUUGCAGCAUUUUCUUGAUUGGACCGACUGUUGAUGUUUGAGUUGUUGAUGGAACAUGGAAACUUUAGAAUAUUUUUUUGUGGAAUGAAUGGGUACUUGAUGUGUGAUAGGUUUUCAUAUGGCGGAAUGUGGGAUCAGGUAUAGUCAUUUGUAUGUUAUAUGGAGUUGGAGACUAGAAGUUCUCUGAUACAGUCUAUGUCGUGAUUGUGGAUCGCGAGUGUGGGUACCAUUAGCGGCUAUUGGGAGUUGGAGGCCCAAGUGGAUCAUUCUUUGCUUGGUAUUUUAGAUUUUGGACAUUGUAUGUAGGUGUGGACUGGUCGCCUCAGUGAUUGGGUUAUUCUAGACUAUUGUGCUAUGGGUUAUGUCGGAAAAGGUCACGGGUUAGGUGGUGAGGUGCAUCGGACUAUGUUCUAGCAGAAUGGUUGUGUUCCAAAGACCAGCGGACGGCUGGGAAGGAUUGCUUUCCUUAGUUGGGCUUUUGUGAUGAAUAUUAGUAAAGAGGUUCCUACCAUUGAUCCAGUACCGAUAUUGAGGGACUUUUUUGGAGCAUGCUCCUAGCGAUUAU